RNAcentral lists this ribosomal RNA (253 nucleotides) under uncultured bacterium. RNAcentral describes it as "partial 16S ribosomal RNA". It matches the Rfam family "Bacterial small subunit ribosomal RNA", at positions 524 to 776 of the family's 1533-position model. The record is from RNAcentral.
UACGUAGGGGGCGAGCGUUGUCCGGAUUUAUUGGGCGUAAAGAGCGUGUAGGCGGCCACGUAGGUCCGUUGUGAAAACUCGAGGCUCAACCUCGAGACGUCGGCGGAAACCCUCUGGCUAGAGUCCGGAAGAGGAGAGUGGAAUUCCUGGUGUAGCGGUGAAAUGCGCAGAUAUCAGGAGGAACACCGAUGGCGAAGGCAGGUCUCUGGGCAUUAACUGACGCUGAGGAGCGAAAGCAUGGGGAGCGAACAGG